This 446-nucleotide long non-coding RNA is filed under the name Panax ginseng (ginseng). RNAcentral describes it as "long non-coding RNA (PGIN_LNC014541)". The record is from RNAcentral. Lineage: Eukaryota; Viridiplantae; Streptophyta; Magnoliopsida; Apiales; Araliaceae.
UGAUUAGACUAUGUGCUGACUGUAAUAGACAGUACUAUGUGUUAAGAUAUAUUGUUCUAAUCGAACGAAUGAUCUGAUUAUUGAUAGGUUGUGAUAAAGAGAUAAAACCUAAGUUGAGAUUUGUAAUCAGCGAAUCAGGCAAGUAUCCUACCUUUGCAUUUUCUUUAUGCAAUGGACAUGAGUAAGAAGUUUCAGAAUUAUUCUAUUCCUGUACAGAUUAUGUACGCUUUGAUUAUCAACAUGUUAGCUCAGAUAUAUAUUCUGUUAAGUUGAUUUCUAAAUGGUUAUACAAGUGUCCCCACUUGGAUAAUCAUGGCAUUUAUUCACAUGUUGAUACACCUUUGUCAAUUACCCGUAUAUAUAUAUGUCGAAUUACAUAUUAUUGUUGAGCAAGAUUAAAAACCUUCGGGUUUGGAACCAGGCAUGUAUGAACAUCCCUAUAUGAG